GAUGAACGCUGGCGGCGUGCCUAAUACAUGCAAGUCGAGCGAACAGAUAAGGAGCUUGCUCCUUUGACGUUAGCGGCGGACGGGUGAGUAACACGUGGGUAACCUACCUAUAAGACUGGGAUAACUUCGGGAAACCGGAGCUAAUACCGGAUAAUAUUUCGAACCGCAUGGUUCGAUAGUGAAAGAUGGUUUUGCUAUCACUUAUAGAUGGACCCGCGCCGUAUUAGCUAGUUGGUAAGGUAACGGCUUACCAAGGCGACGAUACGUAGCCGACCUGAGAGGGUGAACGGCCACACUGGAACUGAGACACGGUCCAGACUCCUACGGGAGGCAGCAGUAGGGAAUCUUCCGCAAUGGGCGAAAGCCUGACGGAGCAACGCCGCGUGAGUGAUGAAGGUCUUCGGAUCGUAAAACUCUGUUAUUAGGGAAGAACAUACGUGUAAGUAACUGUGCACGUCUUGACGGUACCUAAUCAGAAAGCCACGGCUAACUACGUG
This 497-nucleotide ribosomal RNA is filed under the name uncultured bacterium. Its description in RNAcentral is "partial 16S ribosomal RNA". It matches the Rfam family "Bacterial small subunit ribosomal RNA", at positions 28 to 507 of the family's 1533-position model. The record is from RNAcentral.